CACGUAGGGUGCGAGCGUUGUCCGGAAUUAUUGGGCGUAAAGAGCUCGUAGGCGGUGUGUCGCGUCGGCCGUGAAAACCUGCAGCUUAACUGUGGGCUUGCGGUCGAUACGGGCAUCACUGGAGUUCGGCAGGGGAGACUGGAAUUCCUGGUGUAGCGGUGAAAUGCGCAGAUAUCAGGAGGAACACCGGUGGCGAAGGCGGGUCUCUGGGCCGAUACUGACGCUGAGACGCGAAAGCUAGGGGAGCGAACAGG
Molecule: ribosomal RNA, 254 nt
Filed under: uncultured bacterium
Lineage: Bacteria
Description: partial 16S ribosomal RNA
Rfam family: Bacterial small subunit ribosomal RNA
Source: RNAcentral